AAUGGGCGAAAGCCUGAUGCAGCAACGCCGCGUGAGCGAAGAAGGCCUUUGGGUCGUAAAGCUCUGUCCUUGGGGAAGAAACAAAUGACGGUACCCUUGGAGGAAGCCCCGGCUAACUACGUGCCAGCAGCCGCGGUAAUACGUAGGGGGCGAGCGUUAUCCGGAAUUAUUGGGCGUAAAGAGUGCGGAGGUGGUUCUUUAAGCGNGGGGUGAAAGGCAGUGGCUUAACCAUUGUAAGCCCUGCGAACUGGAGAACUUGAGUGCAGGAGAGGAAAGCGGAAUUCCUAGUGUAGCGGUGAAAUGCGUAGAUGUUAGGAGGAACACCAGUGGCGAAGGCGGCUUUCUGGACUGUAACUGACACUGAGGCACGAAAGCGUGGGGAGCAAA
This 387-nucleotide ribosomal RNA is filed under the name uncultured bacterium. Its description in RNAcentral is "bacterial SSU rRNA". It matches the Rfam family "Bacterial small subunit ribosomal RNA", at positions 370 to 772 of the family's 1533-position model. The record is from RNAcentral.